This 251-nucleotide long non-coding RNA is filed under the name Lathyrus oleraceus (garden pea). Its description in RNAcentral is "Pisum sativum (pea) long non-coding RNA (PSAT_LNC030573)". Lineage: Eukaryota; Viridiplantae; Streptophyta; Magnoliopsida; Fabales; Fabaceae. The record is from RNAcentral.
GUGUUACAACUCUCCCCCACUAAAAGAGUUUUCGUCCUCGAAAACAUACCUCAAGCGAACAACUCUGGGUAAGAUUCCUUCAUCUUACUCUCCAGUUCCCAAGUCACAUUGCCACCUGCUGGUCCUCCCAAAGCUACCUUCACCAAGGCAAUCUCUUUACCCCGCAAUUGCUUCAACUCUCGAUCCUCGAUCCUCAUAGGUGAUGUUUCAACAGUCAGGUUAUCUCUCACCUGUACAUCAUCUACUUGGAC